Molecule: ribosomal RNA, 253 nt
Filed under: uncultured bacterium
Lineage: Bacteria
Description: partial 16S ribosomal RNA
Rfam family: Bacterial small subunit ribosomal RNA
Source: RNAcentral
UACGUAGGCAGCAAGCGUUGUUCGGAGUUACUGGGCGUAAAGGGUGCGUAGGCGGCUCUAUAAGUAUGGUGUGAAAUCUCCCGGCUUAACUGGGAGGGUGCGCUAUAGACUGUGGGGCUAGUGUGUGGGAGAGGAAAGUGGAAUUCCUGGUGUAGCGGUGAAAUGCGUAGAUAUCAGGAGGAACACCGGUGGUGUAAACGGCUUUCUGGACCAUAACUGACGCUGAGGCACGAAAGCGUGGGUAGCAAACAGG